This 547-nucleotide ribosomal RNA is filed under the name uncultured bacterium. Its description in RNAcentral is "bacterial SSU rRNA". It matches the Rfam family "Bacterial small subunit ribosomal RNA", at positions 355 to 895 of the family's 1533-position model. The record is from RNAcentral.
UAGGGAAUCUUCGGCAAUGGACGGAAGUCUGACCGAGCAACGCCGCGUGAGUGAAGAAGGUUUUCGGAUCGUAAAGCUCUGUUGUAAGAGAAGAACGAGUGUGAGAGUGGAAAGUUCACACUGUGACGGUAUCUUACCAGAAAGGGACGGCUAACUACGUGCCAGCAGCCGCGGUAAUACGUAGGUCCCGAGCGUUGUCCGGAUUUAUUGGGCGUAAAGCGAGCGCAGGCGGUUAGAUAAGUCUGAAGUUAAAGGCUGUGGCUUAACCAUAGUACGCUUUGGAAACUGUUUAACUUGAGUGCAAGAGGGGAGAGUGGAAUUCCAUGUGUAGCGGUGAAAUGCGUAGAUAUAUGGAGGAACACCGGUGGCGAAAGCGGCUCUCUGGCUUGUAACUGACGCUGAGGCUCGAAAGCGUGGGGAGCAAACAGGAUUAGAUACCCUGGUAGUCCACGCCGUACGAUGAGUGCUAGGUGUUAGACCCUUUCCGGGGUUUAGUGCCGCAGCUAACGCAUUAAGCACUCCGCCUGGGGAGUACGACCGCAAGGUU